CGGUGAUUACUUGUUGAGGAACUCUGGACUUCCCCCCUCUUUCAAUGGGGGGUGGUUGCUAGUGUUGCAGUCCAUGACAAAGCAGGUGCAGAAAGGAAGCACUAUGGUGAGCAUGCUGCUGCAAAUCCAUUUUGUGACAUCAUUUGCUGAAAGGAAGAAAAAUGGGUGCACUGACAUCAUGGACUUAACAUUUAUCUUAUCUAUACAUUUAUACACUAUCUGAUAUGAUUCCAGACACAGAGACAUGAAGACUUCACACAUAUCCACACUAAAGAGCCAUUGACAAUUGCUCCAUGGAGACUUGAUCAACCUAAUGGAAACUCACCUCAAUGUGUAAAAUCUUAUUUAAGUUUGGAGUAUGACCAAAGCUGGUAUGAUUUUGUGUGUGAAAAUCCAGACCUCUCUUGGGCUGCUUGCACUGCUUGUAAGAUACCUUACACAUUUGAGUCAUCAGUGCUGAUUACUCUAAAAGGGCUUUGCUUGCAGACAAAGAUUGAUACAACGUACCAGGUACAUGUAUUCCUCUUUACCCUGCCCUAUACUAACCUUUCCUCCGCUCUGAAUACCAAUUGAAGAGGGGGCUCCGAGGUAGGUGUAUUCAUAAUUUUUUGUAUCGUUCGUUCUU
Long non-coding RNA from Eurytemora carolleeae, 625 nucleotides. RefSeq lists it as uncharacterized. The transcript is spliced from 3 exons. NCBI's taxonomy places the organism in Eukaryota, Metazoa, Arthropoda, Copepoda, Calanoida, Temoridae. The record is from RefSeq and is a predicted model, not a curated record.